UUUAUUCCAAAAAAAGUCGAGCUCUCUCUCCCUUCAAGAAACCGCUAUCUCUCUUUUUCUUCUCUCAAAAUUGUCGGCCAUGCUCUGUUUCACUUCCUCUUGCUCAAAAUCCCAUCUCUCUCUCUCUCAAAGGAAACACAUAUCUCUCCUCACUCACGCCUCUCUCCAUCUUCAGCCGAGUUCUCCCUCAAAAUUAGUCGAGCUCAGCCC
Molecule: long non-coding RNA, 210 nt
Filed under: Salvia miltiorrhiza (redroot sage)
Lineage: Eukaryota; Viridiplantae; Streptophyta; Magnoliopsida; Lamiales; Lamiaceae
Description: long non-coding RNA (SMIL_LNC012913)
Source: RNAcentral